Molecule: long non-coding RNA, 317 nt
Filed under: Manihot esculenta (cassava)
Lineage: Eukaryota; Viridiplantae; Streptophyta; Magnoliopsida; Malpighiales; Euphorbiaceae
Description: long non-coding RNA (MESC_LNC004488)
Source: RNAcentral
UACUGCCUGAAGCUGCUGCACUCAAGGUAGAGGGAUCUAACCUUCCCCCACCCGGAGUUUUAGAACCAGAAGCUUGUGCCACUGUCUGCUUAACUGUCCCCUGAAUGAUGGCACCAGCCUCCAUUCUCCUAGCCAUGUCUACUAUGGCGUGAAAACUCUCUCUAUCUGCUGACUGUACCAAGGAGGAAUACCUGGGAUGGAGCUUCAUGAUAUACCUCCUCGACUUCUUCUGGUCUGUGCUAAGGUCUUGCCCUGCAAAUGGCAGCAACUCCAUAAACCUGUCAGUAUAUUCGUCUACACUCAUGUCAUCGGUCUGC